Molecule: long non-coding RNA, 1513 nt
Organism: Lolium rigidum
Lineage: Eukaryota; Viridiplantae; Streptophyta; Magnoliopsida; Poales; Poaceae
Exons: 3
Source: RefSeq, a predicted model, not a curated record
ACCAUCUUAGCCAGUGCCUGCGUCUGCAUUGCCAUUUGCCCACAAGCUACAUUCCACGCAGCUAGCGCAACUGCCCCGUCUCCAGAGCUGCUCAUAUCCUCUGCUUACCAUCAGGACUCCAAUGCGUGGGCAGGAAUAGAAAGAUUGGAACAUCACGAUAUUUCUAUUUUUCCGAAUCUUGUGUGCUGUCUUUUCGUACCAUUAGAAAGGCGAGCAUCUGAAUCUUUUCACAAGUUGAAGAUGGACACAUAAGCCCUAAACCACCUAGCCUUACCGAAUAUCUCCACUAGUAAGUUUUUUCUCAUAUUAGAAAUACUUAUCAGUGGAGGUAUUCUCUAAGGUUGCGGUGGUGUUGGAUUUUUAUACUGACACUUUGGACAUAUUGGUGGCCUUGAAUCAACCUCAGAGAAAUGUUAAUCAAUAGAAAAAAAAAGAUGAAUGCAAUAUGUAAUAGGUUCACCUUUUCAUCCAUAAUUAUGUCUGGAUUGAUGGAGUUUAUGUGGUUGUUAAUAUUUCCUAAUCCUUUAGAAAAACUUUUUCUGAUAAUAGUAGAUUUCAAUGCUUCAAUUUAAUGAACACAAAAUGCUAGCAAUAAAGUGAUCCGCUGCAAAAUGAGACAUAUUUACAAAUUUGGAUGGAAUAUCACUAGAUCAAGAUCUCAGAAACAUUGUUUCACUCCAAGGUUAGUUCAUAUGUGUACCCGCAAAAACAAGUUUGUUCAUAUGUGAACAAUGGUGUAUGUUAUAAUAAAUGUAGUUCUAUCUAGCCAAACUUGUAUUCGAAAAUACUUUCCUUGGUAUGUGCAUGAUCCGUGAAGAACAUAGAUGCAUGAAGCUAUCCUUGGGGGGUCCAGGGUCCAGAACAAUGGUGGAUGCCUACAAAGGAUACCUCCUCUCUCGGUUCAUAGGACUUGCGCGUAUCCCUAGAUGGUAAUUUGAACAUGAUAAUAUAAGAUAUAUAUUUCAAAACUUAUAUCAUUAGAAAGUUUAGACGUUCUACUUUUUAAUGAUAUAAUUUUUGUGGUGUACAAUUCAUAUUAUGUUGACCAAAUUAACAACCUAGAGAUAUGUGCAAGACUUAUAAAUUGGGACGGAGGUACUACAUUACAUGUGGUUGAUGCAAUUGACAGAUGGAGGGAUGAGUUCCGGAAAGCUCCGAUGGCGAAUGGAACAGUGCAUCUUUUGUCUGGAGUUUGGUGGAUCGGGUGAUAUUCGGUCGCGAGCACCCAUGUUUUUAUUCCGACCAUUUGGUUCCAGAGGGAGCGAUGCGAAGCUCUAUUCUGUGUUGACAUCUGGUGACUUUUUGGUCCAUGGUGAAGUCAGAAGAAGGAAUAUCAUGAAGGCUGGAUUGGUGGACUGGCUAAUGGAGGUUUGAGUCUCCGUGAUGCUGAGGGAUAUGCUUGGCGUUCUGGGCUCUGCAGCAGUGGUAUGCAUGUGGGGGCGGCAGCACAGGGGAAGUUUAGAGUCUUACAUCUCAGGGUGAAAACCCAAGGUCCGGCCCUAACAGGUUGUGU